Molecule: long non-coding RNA, 404 nt
Organism: Sapajus apella (tufted capuchin)
Lineage: Eukaryota; Metazoa; Chordata; Mammalia; Primates; Cebidae
Exons: 4
Source: RefSeq, a predicted model, not a curated record
CGGACCGGCAUCCCCCGCAGCCCGGAAUCCCAGGAGUGGUCGCUGAACCCUCACCCUGCGGAGCUCCUGGGCGCCCAGAGAUGAAAAAAUUGAGAUUCAGAGCGGUGUAAUGAACUGAGGUCAUGCUGCUGGUAGGUGGAGCAGCCUCCAGAUGAGCAAAAAGGAAGAACUCUGGCAUUUCCCACUUCCUCAGCAUCCUCCGCCUCUUCAGCUGCUCACACCAGCUCUGGGAUGCAGAUGUACCAGCAGCCAGAAGCAGCCCAAUCCAUGAAACCAUUUUCUCCUUCCCUCCUAUGCCUCCCGUCUGUCCCUGCUCAGGGGAAAACAGGGGGUCCAGGCCGGGGCGAGACAGCUGUCCAGCGCCUCCCUUUCCUGCGCUGCCCUCACCUUCUCUGUUAAAUGGC